This 157-nucleotide small RNA is filed under the name Arabidopsis thaliana (thale cress). RNAcentral describes it as "ATSL169770". The record is from RNAcentral. Lineage: Eukaryota; Viridiplantae; Streptophyta; Magnoliopsida; Brassicales; Brassicaceae.
UUUUUUUUCUCCUUUUUAAAAAAAGUCGUGAACUUUUAAAUGGUUGUGGUGAUGAAUAAUAAUGGGUCUGAAUGGAUGGCGUGUAAAAGACAGAUCACACUUAAGAUGGAGGGACCACAAUUAAUUUUCACAUUCAUGAUUUGGGUCAUUUAUAUAC